UAUCUAUGAUUUUUAAACAUUUUCAAGAUAUAAAAGAUAAUCAAGAGAAGAUAAUUAAAAAAAAAAAAAAGAGUUCUUAACUUCUUCGAAUUACUUACCCUAACAUUUUGAUGCGUUACAGGCCUGCCAGGCCCAAACAAGAUCAUAAAUACUUACCUAAAUUGACCCAAUCAACACCAAAAAGCCCAUGACCACAAACAGCCUUAUCUUCAACAAAUAGACCAUCACCAUCCCUUCUUCUCUCUUCUCCACACAAAAAAAUGGCGCUUAGUCUAACCAUCACAUCCCUCCAAAUCAAAUCGAUCGCUCCUCCUCUCCUACCUAUCAAAAAGGAAGAGAGAUAUACGCCUAGAAUUCUAUGAAGACGGAACGGUGUAUUGCAUUGGAGAGUUAGUGAUGGCAACAACUGGGACCAAGCAGGAGUACGUGGUGGAUGUGUGGUCAGGCAACCAUCCGUUUUACCUCAGGAACCGGUCUGGUGUUCUUGCAGAUGCUGACCAGGUGGAGAAGUUUCGUAAGAAACUCGGAGAUCUCUCGCAGAUUAUGGGAAUUCCUGUACUUAAAGGUGAGUUUAUUUUGCCCGCCAGGGAAAAAUCUGUUGCUGGUAAAGCGGGCAAGAAGAAGUAGAUUCUUAAGGCGUGGAUAACUGUUUGGGUUAUUGGGUGGGGGCUUUGUUUUUGGUAAUAUUGAUGCACGAAUGUUUGAUGAAAUGCCUUUUUUUUUUUGGGCUGAUGCAAUACUGGAAUGCCGCCUUCUGGUGCUUAUUUUUGGAUUGGUUGCUGGAUUUAUAGCAGAAUAGAAGUUAUUGAAAUGGAA
Long non-coding RNA from Populus nigra (black poplar), 816 nucleotides. RefSeq lists it as uncharacterized. The record is from RefSeq and is a predicted model, not a curated record. Lineage: Eukaryota; Viridiplantae; Streptophyta; Magnoliopsida; Malpighiales; Salicaceae. The transcript is spliced from 2 exons.